AAUCCAUUUAGAAUAAAGCUGUAAUUUAACUAAAUGUCAAAAAAAAUCUGUCUGAAUACUUUCCAAAUGCACUGUAUAAUUGGUGUGUGUGUGUGUAUGUGUGUGUGUGUGUGUGUAGGGAUGACACCACUGAUUGCCUGGCUGAUGGUGUUUCUCUGUGAUCUGACAGCAGGGGUGGAGCGUCCUGAGGUGAUGUGUCGUCGGUCCUGUGAGGAGCUGAAUGAUCUGUUAUCAGAGCUGCAUGGCCUCCACAUCGUUACCACUAGUCUGCUGCACGACCUUCAGAGAGCUGUAAGACACACAGACACAUACAGACAGGGUUGGCUAGGUUACUUCCUAAAUGGAAUUCGUUACAGUUACUGGUUACCUGUCCUAACUAGUAAUCAGUAAUGUAACUUUUGGAUUACUCAAACUCAGUAACGUAAUCUGAUUACAUUCAGUUACUUUUAGAUUACUUUCCCCUUAAGAGGCGUUAGAGGAAGACAACAAUGUAUGUAACCAAUUGAACAACAUCUAUUGCAGGAUAAAUGAAUGUUAAUGUUUACAUAGCUGGCCAUAUAUGGAUGUUAAAUUUUACUUUAUGGAUUGGUUAAGUAGGCUUCUUCUAACCCAUCGCUUUCUACUACAUAUAAUAAGACGAUUAAAUGAUAUCUUUACAUUAAAAACCAAAGUCUUUCAGAAUUCUACUCAUUCCAAUAAAUGUUAUACCCCUUGAUUUUCAAGAACAGGACUUGGAAAUAUGGAAGUAUUGAUUAGCCUAAUAGUUUUACCUGAGCAUGACCCACCUGAGCAUAGCCAGCCCUACUCUGUUGUUUAUGAUUUAGUUGUCAUGGAGAACUGAAUGGGCUCAUUGAUUAAAGUUGAAAAAUAAAUGCCUCACUCAUGGAAUGGCUUUGAGCACUACUGAAAAGUGCUAUUUACAUGUGAAUAAUGAAUGCAAUACGCUUAAUUUGCGACAGGCCUGUUGUUGAACUUUGUGUUGGUGACACUUUGAUAUCUUGAUAAUAUGCAGCUGUUUAAAGGGCAAGUCCACAGAUGAAACAAUAACAAAACGGUCUCCCCGCCUCUGUUUUGGUAAAAAGCUGAGGGAUGGGCCUGGAGAAAUGUAACCACUCUCAGAUUAAUAGACAGAGCUGUGGAUGCAAGGACUGACCAUCCAGGAUAUCAACACUAUUGUUUUAACCAUGUUUUGAGGCUGUACAGUGUUUGAUUACAUUUAAUGUUUACAAACAUUGGAGGGUAAA
This 1244-nucleotide long non-coding RNA is filed under the name Oncorhynchus mykiss (rainbow trout). RNAcentral describes it as "lncRNA (ENSOMYG00000073924.1)". Lineage: Eukaryota; Metazoa; Chordata; Actinopteri; Salmoniformes; Salmonidae. The record is from RNAcentral.